UUAGGGCAUGUAUGUUAUGAAGUACUGUGUUAGAUAAGGUCUGAGUGAUAGAGUGAUUGAAGGGAUUCUUUAUUUUAAUGAUUGACUUAUUCAGUUCAUAUAUUGAUUUACUAUAUAUUAAGUUGUACCAAUAAACUAUAAUUUUUAUUUUUAAAAUCCAUACCUUUGUCUGAGGAGUCAGAUAUAUGUGUGCGGUUGGUGGCAGCGUGUUAAGAGAAAGAAAGUGUGAAGUGGCAUCCCCUCUGUGAUGUAUGAGGAGGCGGCCACAAU
This is a non-coding RNA of Pogona vitticeps (central bearded dragon), 270 nucleotides long. The record is from RefSeq and is a predicted model, not a curated record. NCBI's taxonomy places the organism in Eukaryota, Metazoa, Chordata, Lepidosauria, Squamata, Agamidae.